CUGGGGUUCAGUCUGCCGCUGCAAAUACCAAAAGCUGUCCUCAUUGAGUCAUCCCUCCCAGAGCAGGAAGAGCAGAGAUAAAACAGCAUGUAAGCAUCUCUGCAGUUGCUGUCCCCAGAGCCCACUUCCUGGAUAUUGCCAGCUGCCUGGACCAACCUUUCCGAAAGAUCAGCCAGGUCACAGUGAGGGUCAAAGCAGGAGGCCACUGGAGGCUCCAAGGGCUCUGAAAUGUUGAGAACUUCCCUGCAGGUACCAGCGAAGAGGGCAAGAACACAGCACUACUUCCUUGGAUACUGUUUCCCUCCUCAGAGGGGUUUUCUGAGCUGCCCUGGGUCCUGUGAGGAAGAUCUCCCCUUCCUGUAAAGACACCAGUCCUACUGGAUCAGGGCCCACCCGUGUGACUUCACUUUUACUUGAGUACCUCUCACAGACCCUAACUCCAAAUCAGGUCACUUGCUGAGGUACUGCAUGUGAAGACUUUGACAUUUGAAUUUUGAGGGGGCCACCGUUUAACCUGAACCACCAAGGACAGAGCCAAAGACCCUGGGUGACAGGCCCAGAACAGGACCUGGUGGAGGCUCUUCUUUAGGGGAGAGAGGGAAAUGGGAGCCACCACUGGCAGAGCCUGAAGGCAGGGCAGCCAGAAAGAAGCUGUGGGAGUCCCCACCAUGGAAGACCCUGCCGAGCAUCCUGUGUCUCCUGAAGCAGACCCUGACAUGAGGACUGGGGGCACGUGUUUAUUAAGGGCGAUCCCCGGAAGGAGGAGAUAACCAGGCAGAAGUCCUAGCAGAGUAUGCCCACGCUGGUUAGUGCUGCUGCAAAGAUGAGCCGAAGACCAUGAGAGACCUCCAGGUGGUCCUUCUGGGGAGAAGAAAUGGGUUUUGGCCCCAAAUCCUUCUGCUGCAUUUUUCCCCUAUCCCUGGGAAGCCAUGAGACCUCAAACCUGUGUUCCCAAGGAGGCGAGCUGCUGUUCCCAGGUGAUGAUAUGAUGUGCUUGGGGAAAGUAAGUGGCUGCCAGACAUGGCUGAGAGCUGUUGUCACUGCCGUCAAGUGCAUGUCUCCAAGCCAUAUCACACGGCGUCCCUCGAUGUGAGGCCACAUGGCAAGUGGGCCGUGGAUCUCCCUCUGCCCUUUGCAAGCACGUAAGACAGCAGAUUUUGCAGAUACCUUGUGGCGCAGGGGAAUUUCCUUUGGCCAGGUCUGAAGAAAUAAAGCAGCAGGCACCGAGAACAAAGCCAAGGCUUUCAAAAGACAAGGAGCCAAAAAACUUACUCAAAAUAAAAGUAGUUU
Molecule: long non-coding RNA, 1290 nt
Filed under: Homo sapiens (human)
Lineage: Eukaryota; Metazoa; Chordata; Mammalia; Primates; Hominidae
Description: non-protein coding lnc-SSTR4-2:1
Source: RNAcentral